AGAGUUUGAUCCUGGCUCAGAAUGAACGUUGGCGGCGUGGAUUAGGCAUGCAAGUCGAACGGGCCUGGUAGCAAUACCAGGUCAGUGGCGUAAGGGUGAGUAAGGCGACGGCAACCAACCCCAUGGUUGGGCAUAGCCGCGGGAAACUGCGGGUAAUUCCCAGCGAUGUUCGUACCGGGCAUCCGGUAUGAACCAAAGUUCUGGCGCCGUGGGACGGGCCGUCGUGGUAUUAGGUAGUUGGCGGGGUAAUGGCCCACCAAGCCUCUGAUGCCUACCGGGCGUGCGAGCGUGGCCCGGCACACUGGGACUGAGACACUGCCCAGACUCCUACGGGAGGCUGCAGUCGAGAAUCUUCGGCAAUGGGCGCAAGCCUGACCGAGCGACGCCGCGUGGAGGAUGAAGGCCUUCGGGUUGUAAACUCCUGUCGAGGGGGAGGAAGGCGCAAGCUUGACCUAUCCCUGGAGGAAGCACGGGCUAAGUUCGUGCCAGCAGCCGCGGUAAGACGAACCGUGCGAACGUUAUUCGGAAUCACUGGGCUUAAAGCGCGUGUAGGCGGAUGGGGACGUCGGUUGCUGAAAUCCCCCGGCUCAACCGGGGAAGUGGCGCCGAAACGCCCCGUCUGGAGGGACGUAGGGGGACCUGGAACUUCCGGUGGAGCGGUGAAAUGCGUUGAGAUCGGAAGGAACGCCCGUGGCGAAAGCGAGGUCCUGGACGUUUUCUGACGCUGAGACGCGAAAGCUAGGGUAGCGAACGGGAUUAGAUACCCCAGUAGUCC
This 775-nucleotide ribosomal RNA is filed under the name uncultured bacterium. RNAcentral's name for it is "bacterial SSU rRNA". It matches the Rfam family "Bacterial small subunit ribosomal RNA", at positions 8 to 796 of the family's 1533-position model. The record is from RNAcentral.